This 473-nucleotide ribosomal RNA is filed under the name uncultured bacterium. RNAcentral describes it as "bacterial SSU rRNA". It matches the Rfam family "Bacterial small subunit ribosomal RNA", at positions 335 to 801 of the family's 1533-position model. The record is from RNAcentral.
ACUCCUACGGGAGGCAGCAGUGGGAAGUAUUGGACAAUGGGGGGAACCCUGAUCCAGCCAUGCCGCGUGUGUGAAGAAGGCCUUAUGGUUGUAAAGCACUUUAAGCGAGGAGGAGGCUACUGAGACUAAUACUCUUGGAUAGUGGACGUUACUCGCAGAAUAAGCACCGGCUAACUCUGUGCCAGCAGCCGCGGUAAUACAGAGGGUGCGAGCGUUAAUCGGAUUUACUGGGCGUAAAGCGUGCGUAGGCGGCUUUUAAGUCGGAUGUGAAAUCCCCGAGCUUAACUUGGGAAUUGCAUUCGAUACUGGGAAGCUAGAGUAUGGGAGAGGAUGGUAGAAUUCCAGGUGUAGCGGUGAAAUGCGUAGAGAUCUGGAGGAAUACCGAUGGCGAAGGCAGCCAUCUGGCCUAAUACUGACGCUGAGGUACGAAAGCAUGGGAGCAAACAGGAUUAGAUACCCCUGGUAGGAUAGCG